UUUUUUUUAAUUAUCUAAAAAGUAACACCUGCCCACUGGUUAAUCUAAAGGGCCGCGGUAUUAUGACCGUGCUAAGGUAGCAUAAUCAUUAGUCUCUUAAUUAGGGAAUUGUAUGAAUGGUGAUACUUUCAAGUACUUUGUUAUAAAGAUAAAUUAAAAUUUAGUUUUAAGUGAAAAUUCUUAAAUUUUGCAAAAAGACGAUAAGACCCUAUAGAGCUUUAUACAUAAAUAAAUUUAUUUCAUGGGGGUAAAGUAAAUUUAUUAGUGUAUUUUGUUGGGGCAACAAAAGAAUAAUUUUAACUUCUUUGCAUAAUUAUACCCUUAAUUUUAGAAACUAAAAAGUUACCUUAGGGAUAACAGCGUUAUAAUUUUUGAGAGCCCAAAUCGACAAAAUUGUUUGCGACCUCGAUGUUGAAUUAAAAUUUCUUUAAGGGGCAGUUCUUUUAAUAGAUAGUCUGUUCGACUAUAAAAUUUUU
This 476-nucleotide ribosomal RNA is filed under the name Sinella curviseta. Its description in RNAcentral is "partial 16S ribosomal RNA". It matches the Rfam family "Bacterial large subunit ribosomal RNA", at positions 1820 to 2597 of the family's 2925-position model. Lineage: Eukaryota; Metazoa; Arthropoda; Collembola; Entomobryomorpha; Entomobryidae. The record is from RNAcentral.